CCAUACCUGAAAUGAAAAGAAACUUGUCAAUAAACUGCAUGCGAUAAAUUUCAAGAAUUUUAAGGUUCUCAUGUCAUAGGAUGUAACGAUUAGAAAAAUAAAAAUAAUCUCAUUUUAUCAUUAUAUUAUUUCUUUCUAAAUAUUUUUCUUUCUCUCGAGUGAUUAAUUAGAAUUUUAAUUAAAAAAGAAAAAAGAAACGUUUGUAUCAAAAAUUAUUCAAUACCAUUUGCUAAUGAAAACGUAAUGAGAACACAUAAUUUCGAAAUUUUGCAAUCUUGAUGUUUCAAAUAUGAUAGGAUAUUAUAAAAUUUGAAUCUUUGUAUCAAUAUAAAAAAUUUUAAAAUUCAAAUUUCAUUCAUCAUAUGUUAAUCUUUUUCAUGAACUUGUUGCAAAAUUUCAUACAAAUAUAACUAAAUGCCUGCGAAGUUUAUGGAAUUAAAAGUGAUCUAUGAUUGCUAUUAUCGCAUACAGGAAUAUAUGUAUAUGAAUAUAAGAUACGAUUAUAAUACAAGGUCUAUAGAUCGGUUAAGAAAAACACAUUUGUUAUCCGUUAAUAUUUCAUAUGAAUCGUUUCUUAACGUGACUCUAAAAAUAAUUCAAUAUUAAAUUAAUCGUAAUAAUUCUCGACAUGUACGUUUUAUAUUACCACAUUAUUAAUCGCAAUAAAACUUAUCGUCUCGUAGAAUUAACUUUAAUCAACUUUGUGAGCAAUUGAAAUAAGAUAUCCAUAUAAUUAAUAUAAUUCUUGUACGUUGCGUUUCAAUAAUUUUAAUAUCUGUGAUUUACAAUGACCAAUUGUUUAUUUAUAAAGAUUUUUUCAUUCGCAUGUUUACACGGAAUAUGAAAUGUAAGACUAAAAAUAUUCUAUUCCUAAUAAUAAUAAUAUCUGGUAUUAUAUUUCACGUGCUCGAUAAAAUUCAACGAUAUUAAUAAUCGUGAUGUAAUAUUUAAUUAUGGAAUUAUCAAAAUUACCAUAUUGCCAUUUAUCUAAUCUAAACAUUUACAAAAACUAUUAAUUCUAAUUUUAUCUAACAUCUCUUAUGUUAAAAUAAGUGAAAUAUCUGAACGAGUAUAAUAAAAUAAAUAAAUUGUAUAGUAUUGCCUAAGUUUAUUGCGAACCUUAACGAUUGCGUGAAAUUCUAUUUUAACCUAAUCGAAAACCAGUUCAUAAAUCCAUCUUUACAGGAAUGUCCUUGAAAGUUGUAUGAUAUUAACUUUUUUUAAACUCUUUCUUAAUGAAUAUAAGAUUUAAUAGAAGAGGAAUAUAUAUAUAUAGAUAUAUAUAAUAGAAAUAAGAAUAUAACAGUAAAAUUCUUAUUUCUCUAUUUUUGAACAACUUGAAAACGUUGAGAUUAUUGAACACAUACACACGUACGAUGUUUGAAUAUUUGAAGAUAUAAAGAAACUUGUCAAUAACAAUUCUAUUUACAUAGAUAAUGAAGUGACUAAUUAUUUAUUUAUUAUUAUUUAUUGCUUCUCUUCCCACUUUUUCGUCAUCGAAAUGGAUAUGAUACGUAAGAUUAAUAAGGAUAGGACUAGGACUCUUGUAAUGCGAUGCUUCGCUUUCAGCGACACCUGUUCCGUUUGCAAAUAACUACGCAUAUGAUUACUUUUAAAUCGGUUCGAUAUUCUGUCCACGAGAACGAGUUUUUGAUUGACAAGAUUUAAAAUUCAUUAUAUGAACUUCCUCUGCCCGUGAACCUCGGAAGUUUCUUCGUUAAAAAUACGAUUAUUUAAGAUUUGGCAUAAGAUCGAUACUAUUCAUUUCAUAUAAUUUGAUAUAAUUGGAUGCCAGUUUGCAUAAUAUGCUUUACUCGUUAAUUUAUUUUUCAAAUGCAAACAUUUACAAUUACAUAACUAUCAUUAUAAAUUAUUAUUUUUUUUUGUAAAACACUUCUUUUUCCCGAUAUUACGGGAUUUUUCAUUUUUUUCAUUGGAUGGAAAAAAUUGCAUAUAUAAUCUGGUAUUUUUUAGAAUAUGUCAUGUUAAAUUAAUGAAUGAUAAAUAAUUAUAUAAGCAAUAAAAAUAUGAUUACAACACGGAGUAUAGAAAAAGAUUUGCACAGAAAUUUAUAUCUAGUCGAUAAAUAAAAAUUUUUAUAUUAGAAUAAUUAUAUUGUUUAUCUCUACGAAGAUUUUCUAAUGCAUUAAUAUUCCAACUGAUUUUUCGCAACAUUUCAACGCAUAAUUUAAAACUGUUUGAAAAAAUAGAAAGUAUUUCGAAUGAAACUAUCGAUUGUAUUAUUGUAUCGUGAUAUGUAAAUUAAACAAAUAACAAUAUUUCAGAAGAUAAAUAUCAUCAAUUUUAAUCUCGUUAAAUUCAUUUCAAUUCAAUUUCCUAUAUGAUAUUUCCAAUUGUUUAUUAUUAAAUAUUCCAAAUUAUAUAAAUAUGUUUAUAAUAAUUAACGAAUAAUUCUCUAAUCUUUAUAAUUAAUACGUAGAUCAAGAUUAAUAGAAAAUUAGUUUUAUAAUUAAUCAAUUAAUCAAUUAGUUUUAUAAUUGAUCAAAUAAUAUAAUGACCAGUGAUUCUGAACACGGAACAAAUAUGAAGAGAAUUGUUACGAAUAAAUUUUUGAUAAAAAGUUAACGAAAUAUGAAAAAAAACAUGUAAUAUAAUGAUGAAUAAAUUUUUUAUAAUCAGAUGAGAUACAAAGGAUAAUAUUGGAUUCAAAUUCUUAUCAGAUUUUUAUAUUCGAAAUGAAAGAGCGAGAUGUGUAUUUUAAGAAAUUAAGCAACACGUGCUCGAUUCGAUGAAUUCGUAUUCAGAGUCUGAGCACGAUUUAAAACACGACCAUGAAAUUCGAAUGUUCAUCAAGAAACGUGGAAUUGGGAUGAUUAUAAUCAUUUGUGACAUUGAUUGAAACGUUUUUCUUAUUCUAAUGUCCUUCUCAAUAAAGACACGAGGAUUUUGUGAAUAAUCAAAUAUUUUGAACAUGUAACGAAAUCAUUUUUCCAUCAUUUUCGAUAUUAAAAUGGAAUAAAAUUUAUUUCAUGUUUCUAAAUAUUUCUAUUAGGUUUCUAAAUAUUUCUUUAGUUUAAAUAAGCUUAGAUAUUUAAGCCAAGAAAUUAUGUAUAUUUUUAUCAUUUAUACAAGAAUUAAAUUUAAUUAAAUGGUACAUAAUUUUGCAUUUAAUAAAUAUAAAACGCCAACCUGAAAAAUGAAAUGAAUUAUGAUUAUAGUUGAAACUUCUGGAAAAUAUGUUAUCGCAGAUAAAAUCACGAAAUAUUAGCAUUGCAAAAUCAACGUUCAAGAAGAAAUUAUAUAUAAUUAUGACAUUAAAUUAUAGUCAUACAUAUCUAGUUGAAAUAUAUCUUAUAAGUAUCAGCACAUUUAAACAGUUUUAUAUCUUUGAUGAUAUAAUAUCAUCAAACCCAUCAAUAGAGAUUUUGAUUGCCUAUGUUUUAAAAGUUAUCUUGUUACAAUUCAAUUUUUGAACUUCCACCUAUAAACUCUUUGUAAACCUCUGUAAAAUCAUCUUUAAUUAAUUAAUUUGUUCUGAUUUCGACUUUAAUAAUAAUUGCAAUAUAUGCUCUAAUUUUAGAGAUCUAAAUCAAAAAAUUUCAACCAUCUUUUGAUCUUUUAAUCAAACUUGUACACUUUGAAAGAUAGAAGAGAUGCUUACCAGUCUUGUUAAUAUCCCAGACGACAACGAUAGCACCAAGAUUGGCCAACAUGAGGCUGAUUAGCCUUCCUAUACCACCAGCACCACCAGUCACCAGAAUGAUUUCCCCAGUGAUGCUUUUCAUUUUAUAUUUCAAUGGAAUCAAGGAUUUGAAUAUAUUUUUGAUGCUAAAUAUUACAGACCAAAAAAGGAAAAUAACGAAUGCCCCAGCAGCAACCAAGAAUGACACUAUGGGCAGUGGUUUUUGGACAGAAGGUAAUGUUGAAGUAGAGAUAAUUGAUCUUGGAAGAGGAACAGUUGGGGAUGGAGAAUCUUUAAAAUCCUUGAAAGCAGCAAUACUGUCUUCAUCUGGCACAAUUAUACAAAUUAAUUUACCAGUACAAACAUUUUUUGUUCCUUCAGCAAGUAAAUCACCUUUAUUUAAUUUAUCACCUGAAGAAUUUAUAAUAUUGAGGAUUAUUAAUGCAAUUUAUGGGAGAUAGAAUAAAUUAUUUAUAUAUUACCUUCCUUUUUGAGCCAGCUGACAAUAGUGCCUGUUUCCAUAGUAGAUGAUAAUACAGGAAAUUGUACAUGGAUUGGAUAAUCUGCAUAAAAUCUUAGCUGUUGCUUCCAUGGAAUUACCGAAAGGUAUAAAGUAUUAUGAAUCUGAAUUCUAAAUAUCAACAAAAAAAUAAUAUUAUAAUGUAAUAUUUCAUUUUAUUUUUCGAUCCUUAUCCUUAUUCUAAAAUACCAACCUAUAAUGCAUAUUUUAAAUGAAUAAAAAAGAAUAAAUUAAAUUUGGAUAAAAUUAUUAAAAAUAAAAUUUCUAUAAAAUUUUCAAUUAUAGAAUGAAUGACAUAAGCAAUAUUCAAGAUAAUCAGCAAUGUAAAUCUUGUUUAAAAAACAGAAAAACUUAAUUUCAUGAGUAAAUAUGAUAGUAACAUAAAAUGAAAUACCUUUGUAAAUAUUUUGUAUGAAGCCAUUGUAUAACUAUCGAUCUUACAAUAUUCAUGUUUACAGAACCUCGAAUAUAUGUAUAUAUCAAUUCAUUAAACAAAUAUUCAUUGUUAUUCGUAUCAUAUUUUUAUCAUUAGAGAAUCUUUUAUCUUUGAUUUUAAUAAAAAAUCAUUUGAUAUUUGCUCGAGUUUUUGCUUGAACAUUUCUAACAAUGUUCCAAGAAUUUCAAUGAUGUAUAAAUUAUUGUAAAAUAUGUCUAAAAAUCAAAUAUUAAAUUAAAGGUCGUUUACAAGGUCACAUUCAAAUUUAAAGAUAGUUUUUAAAAGAAAUUUUAUUGCAGAAAUCAUUUAUUAUUAUCAAUUAUGAAAUGGAGAGAAAAGAAGAAAAUGAAAAUAAAAAAUAGAAAUCGUUUUUUGUUUUUGAUCGAGUGAAAAUUUAUAUCAAGGUUUUCCAUCUUAUAAUAAAUUAUGUUAUUGAUGAAAUAAAGGGGAUACCGUGAUUCGUUAAAUCAAAGUAAUCUGAUUUAUACCUACUUCAGCGCUAAUCGAAGUGAUAUCGAAAAUAAAAGAAUUUAAUAUCUUAUCGAUAUUUAUUUCUUUGCAAAUUUUCAAACUUCUUUCGUUUUUUUUAAAUAAUUUUUUAUCUGAAAAACGUGCACAGAAAUUUUAGAAAUUGUAAAAAAAUUGUUUUCUCAAAAUAAAAAUAAUAAAAUAGUAAAUUAGCCGAUAUAAAUAAUUCUAUAAAUAAUUUUGAAAUUAUAAAUCAAAAUGCCUAAAGUCGAAAAAAGUUCACAUUUUGAAAUGCAAAUAUUUAUGAGGAGAAAUAUAAAACAGAUUACAAUCAAUUUCAAUUAAUUAAACGUAUAUUCAUAUUAUAUUAUAUUCACAUUAUAUAUUCAUAUUAUAUUCAUGUUAAUAUUAAUAAGUAAUAAAGUUUGUUUCAUUAUUUAAAAAUAAUUAAAAUUAUGUAAAAUUUAUUAUUUAAGAUAUAAUAAUGAUGUUCAAUAUUGAAA
Long non-coding RNA from Apis cerana (Asiatic honeybee), 5570 nucleotides. RefSeq lists it as uncharacterized. The record is from RefSeq and is a predicted model, not a curated record. Lineage: Eukaryota; Metazoa; Arthropoda; Insecta; Hymenoptera; Apidae.